RNAcentral lists this ribosomal RNA (93 nucleotides) under Escherichia coli. RNAcentral describes it as "partial 16S ribosomal RNA". It matches the Rfam family "Bacterial small subunit ribosomal RNA", at positions 1 to 87 of the family's 1533-position model. The record is from RNAcentral. RNAcentral also lists the same sequence under 3 other names. Lineage: Bacteria; Pseudomonadati; Pseudomonadota; Gammaproteobacteria; Enterobacterales; Enterobacteriaceae.
UUAAAUUGAAGAGUUUGAUCAUGGCUCAGAUUGAACGCUGGCGGCAGGCCUAACACAUGCAAGUCGAACGGUAACAGGAAGCAGCUUGCUGUU